Long non-coding RNA from Triticum aestivum (bread wheat), 2401 nucleotides. RefSeq lists it as uncharacterized. The transcript is spliced from 3 exons. NCBI's taxonomy places the organism in Eukaryota, Viridiplantae, Streptophyta, Magnoliopsida, Poales, Poaceae. The record is from RefSeq and is a predicted model, not a curated record.
AACCUCCCCGUACCCACCUCCACCUCUUCUGUCUCAUCGCUCGCACACGAAGUCUAUUAUCCCUUCGUUUUGCCCUUUAUCUUAAAAAAAUCCUAAACAAGAGACACACCUGCAUCGGCCUCCAUCCCCUUCCCUCACCGCCGCCAUCCCCUUGCCCCGCCUCCCCCUGUUCCUUCGACGAUGCCCCCUCCCUUGCCACUUUCUCCAUACGUCGGGGCUGCACACUGCGUCUUCGCCAUCCUCCUCGCGUCGGGGACGCACAUGGCAUCCUUGCCAUCCUCCUCGCGUCGGGAAAGGUGCCGCCGCCGCCGUUCCUCCGCGCGACUUGAGAUGCCGAGGCCGCCGUUCUUCCUCCGCACAGCCAGGGACGACGCAAGUACCGACUUCCCCGUCCUCAGCUGCAUCAGUUCAGUAGUACGCCCCCUGCCCUUGCUCAUCCUUGUUUGUUCCUCGCCGACGGUGCCAACCGGCACAUAGCAGCCGACUGGUCUCAGCCCGAGGCACCGACCGACGCAGCCCGCAGCGGCCAACCAGCGCCUCAGCCCCAGAGGAAAUGAGCAACUUCUCUCAACCUCUCCAAAAUCGCGAGUCCCUACCAGUGUUUGAUUUGCGAGUUGUGCUGCUGAUUUGUCUCGAGUGCUCAUAUGUCUUGAUAAAAUUGCCAUUUUUCAUGGACAUUAUUUGCAAUUGAUGUGAGUCUUGCUUUUUUUAUAGAAGAGAUUUGCAGGUGUAGUGAUAUAAGUACUACUACAUGAUGGGAAAACACCAUGCAAGACAAUGCAGUGAAAUAAAUGCAGGAUUCUUCUACUCAAACACUGAACAAGGAGAAAAUUAAAGAUGGUUUCUUCCGAGAGACGUCAUGUUGAUGAACAUGUCAAUAAGAUCAUUGAACUGAAAAAUAAGUUUCUCUCAGGAAGUUACAAUAGUUUUGUGGUGAUCAACCAGAAAAUCAUUGGUCCUCCAUCCAUCGAUCUCCUAGCUAAAGUAGGGGUAACAAAAUCUGACUUGUUACUACAUGAAUGUUCUAUUUCACUUACAUUUAACCCUGUGAGCUGUUUGGGGUUCCAGUUUAGUUCAGAAUGUGGGUCAUGAUGUCACCAGCUGAACUUGGAACACGAAAGUUGUUUGACGUUAUACAUAGUGCUACUCUAUAAGCCAUGAAACAGCCAGAGUUUAAGACAAACCCCAUGUAGAAACCAGACUUCCUAUGAUGGUUCAGUCUGGCAGGCUCAUCUUUCCCAGCCGCCAAUGAAUUAUUAUUUUUAUAUAUACUUAGGGUACACUUGUCUAUACUACUUAGAUCCUGCAUCCCUUCAAGGUCAAGUCAAGGGCUCUGGGUUGGCGUCAUGAUGAGCAGAAGUGGAUUAGAUAGUUCGUAGUUUUCCUGUACAACCCCCUCCCCCUAUUUCUUAGUUCAUUAUGCAUGUAUUCUUCAUAUGCAUGAGUUGAUAACUCCAGCUGUCCCAAAUCUGGUGAUGGUUUUUUUCUCGUGUUGUUGCUUCUGCAAGUUCUGAGAACUUUAUUCAUGGAUCAAGAAAUUCUAAUCUGGACCUGGUAAAUCUCAGUAAUUACGAUCUUUUGUGUGACGUAGAAUAUUUGAAGAUUUUCAAGUUGUUGCACUGAGAUUUCUCCUAAUACAACAAAACACACUUGACUAGUAGAUCAUCCCAAGCAAGAGUAGUACGGGAGCAAUCUAACGCAAAGCUAGCUAGUGCAAAGACCUCUCGAAAAUGGAAAUGUUCAAUUCAGUAUAUUCAGUAUUAUUCGUUAGCUACUUGUCAUUUAGUUGCUAAAUUCAUCUAAUUUUUCAUAUAAUAUAAUUUUUAGUAGUAUAUGCAAGCUGAUGGUUGUUCACAAUGAACAGCCACAUCUGAUUGGUCAAAGGUGCUAUGUGUAUUAAUAUGCAGCUUCUAACGAGCCAUCGAUAUUCAGAACAUGUGCAAGGCAAUUAAGAUAAAUAGAAUGCCCUCAGUUUACAAAGAAUGGGUGAAGACUUGAAGUCUAUGUGUUUGUACUCCAUAGCAUAGUGAUGGCCCUUUUGCUAGCGUGUAUUAUUAUUAUUAUUUUACAAAGGAUGAUACUAACACUACAAGUAUAUGCAGUUUCCACAUCUGAAUUUUGGUAUUUUUUACAGAAAAUAAACUAGAACACUAAAAACAUAUAUUAAUAGUUCAUAUAGUUUUAAGUUGAUGCAAGAUGCAAAAAUAUUUAGUACACGGAUAUAAAUAGCAUAAUCUGAGAUGUUAUUUAUAAAUUCAUGUUGGAUUUUCCUUUUGUAUUCAGAUUAUUAUUUAUCCCCUUAUCUAUAUAUAAAUCUAUGUCUCAAUAAAUCACAUUUAUAGGGUGCUUUAAAUUGUAUUUCUAUAAUAACUUGAUUUCUCUAAUGUAAGUUGCUCGUCUC